Molecule: ribosomal RNA, 469 nt
Filed under: uncultured bacterium
Lineage: Bacteria
Description: bacterial SSU rRNA
Rfam family: Bacterial small subunit ribosomal RNA
Source: RNAcentral
GAUGAACGCUAGCGGCAGGCUUAACACAUGCAAGUCGAGGGGCAGCGUGGAGUAGCAAUACUCUGACGGCGACCGGCGGAAGGGUGCGUAACACGUGAGCGACUUGCCCGUCACAGGGGGAUAACCGGCGGAAACGGCGACUAAUACCCCAUAUGAUGUGAUGCUGCAUGGCAUCGCAUUGAAAGAUUCAUCGGUGGCGGAUAGGCUCGCGGGACAUUAGCUAGACGGCGGGGCAACGGCCCACCGUGGCGACGAUGUCUAGGGGUUCUGAGAGGAAGACCCCCCCACACUGGGACUGAGACACGGCCCAGACUCCUACGGGAGGCAGCAGUGAGGAAUAUUGGUCAAUGGGCGGAAGCCUGAACCAGCCAUGCCGCGUGAAGGACUAAGGCCCUACGGGUCGUAAACUUCUUUAGACGCAGAGCAAUAAGGUCCACGCGUGGACCGAUGAGAGUAUGCGUAGAAUAAG